RNAcentral lists this long non-coding RNA (286 nucleotides) under Setaria viridis. RNAcentral describes it as "long non-coding RNA (SVIR_LNC010466)". Lineage: Eukaryota; Viridiplantae; Streptophyta; Magnoliopsida; Poales; Poaceae. The record is from RNAcentral.
AUUAGAAUAGCACUUUUUACCAUGUUGUUACUCAAAUGCAAAUUCAGAUUCGGAUGUUGUUGAAUGUGCAUCGAAUUCGGAUAUCUCAAAUUCGAAUUUCUAUCCGGAUACCCAUUUAAUUUGGUUGAUAGCAAUUAGCAAGUAUACAUUCAUCUUAUUGAUAAUUUUGGAAGAACAAAGUCAUCAUUAGACAUACAAAUAUAUUUAUGGGUAAGAUAUAACAUAUCUAGGCAAAAAAUUAUUCAUUAAAAUUAUUUUUAUAAAUAUUAUAAUAAAUAAAUAAAUA